This is a long non-coding RNA of Rhododendron vialii, 973 nucleotides long. RefSeq lists it as uncharacterized. Lineage: Eukaryota; Viridiplantae; Streptophyta; Magnoliopsida; Ericales; Ericaceae. The record is from RefSeq and is a predicted model, not a curated record. The transcript is spliced from 2 exons.
ACUGCACACGAAUGAGACAAAUAACAUAUUAAAAUUAAAUAAAAGUUAAACAAGCAAUAAAUUGAUUUAACUGUCAGAUGUCGGAAAUUGCAUAUGGAAGAAGUUGCGAAGCAGCUGUGCUAUUUAGUAGAAUUGAUAUCCAAAUACUAUAAACUCUAACAGCCCAUUCGUCAACGGGAUAUAAGAGGCAGAUAUGUUAUCACCCUAGAUAGUAUAUUUGAAGUGCUUAUAUCCGGGUGUUUGUCACUCGAAUAUUAUAUCUGCCAUAGGCAAAUAUAAUAAGAAUGGGGGAGAGGUGGUGUUAUUAUAUCCGCUCUCUUAAUUCUAUAUCCUCCGACCCAUAUUGACCCCAAAAUAAACCAAGCAUAUACAUAUCCGUUCUUUUAUAAUUUACUCAAACAAACCAUCGAUCUCAUAUUUCCCUUAUAUACAUAUCCACUCUUUUAUCCUCACAUUAUAUCCACCAAAAAUUAAUUGUAAUACCCCUCGUCUUUAAUAGUGCUUAAAGUUAAUUAUGUCUUAUACUUGGGCUAAUUGGGUGAGUUAAAUACUUGUCUUAUUUGCACACACACACUCAAUAACUUUCCUAUUAGUCUAGCAAAACAAAACAGAGUUUCUACGUACUUCUAUUCUUGUUCCUAUCGACCACCUUUUUGAGAGAGAGAGAGAACACCGAACAACAAGAAGAAAGAAGAAGAAGAAGGGAAAAUUAGGGAAAACCUUAUUUGCCUUGGAUUGAAGUUCAUAGCUUGGAAGCGACGCAUAGUGUGGUGGCGUGUUUACUUUUAAGAUGUGUUGUAUAUUUGGAAGCUUGUAGAAAUGAAGUUAUGUUUCAUGGUCACUUAGUUUUGUAUAUAGUUUGUUUAGCUUUUGAGUUUGUAAGUAAGCACAACACUGAGAGGUUUAACUUUUGGUUUGUAAAACCUAUGUAAGACUUUGAUUUGUUAUCAAUAAAAGUUGACUUUUGUUUCCA